CGCUGGCGGCGUGCUUAACACAUGCAAGUCGAGCGAUGAAGUUUCUUCGGAAAUGGAUUAGCGGCGAACGGGUGAGGAACACGUGAAGAAUCUGCCCUCCACUUUGGGAUAACACCGGGAAACCGGUGCUAAUACUGAAUAUUGAAACAUAAGUGGCAUCACUGAGUUUUGAAAGAAUUUCGGUGGAGGAUGACUUCGCGGCCUAUCAGCUAGUUGGUGAGGUAAUGGCUCACCAAGGCAACGACGGGUAGCCGGCCUGAGAGGGCGACCGGCCACACUGGGACUGAGACACGGCCCAGACUCCUACGGGAGGCAGCAGUGGGGAAUAUUGGGCAAUGGAGGAAACUCUGACCCAGCGACGCCGCGUGCGGGAUGAAGGCCUUCGGGUUGUAAACCGCUUUCAGUAGGGAAGAAGCGAAAGUGACGGUACCUACAAAAGAAGCACCGGCUAACUACGUG
RNAcentral lists this ribosomal RNA (459 nucleotides) under uncultured bacterium. RNAcentral's name for it is "bacterial SSU rRNA". It matches the Rfam family "Bacterial small subunit ribosomal RNA", at positions 34 to 507 of the family's 1533-position model. The record is from RNAcentral.